UGAUUGUAGAAUAAGUAGUUAUUUUCAGAAUAUAGAUACCUAGUGUAUAGUGUAAACAAAGAUAGAUAACUGCUGAAAAGGUGGUUUAGCAGGUAGAAUGGUUGAAUAGUCAAGAAAAGUAGUUAUCAUCUGUAGUAUAGGAGUUGGUAUCUUGGAGUAGUAUAAGGAGGUUGAGAGAGGGGAAGAAAAUACCAUCGCUGUGAUAGUUGUGAGCCGGGAUAAGCUUGGUGCUAUCUCUUUUCUUUUGUUUGUUAUUUUCUUUGAAUAAGAGGAUUGAGAGUUUUUGAAUAUUGUGAAGUGAAUUAUGGAAUGGAAAUGUGAUUGGUAUUAUUUGAGAAGAAGAAAGAUUGAAUGCUAAAAUCUGAUUUGUAGUUCAGCUGAGAGAAUGAGUCUGUAUUUGUAUGAAAUACCGUAAUGUGAAUGGCAGUUUUGUGUGAAGAAUUCCAGUGAUUGGAAUGAG
RNAcentral lists this long non-coding RNA (460 nucleotides) under Physcomitrium patens. RNAcentral's name for it is "long non-coding RNA (PPAT_LNC001380)". Lineage: Eukaryota; Viridiplantae; Streptophyta; Bryopsida; Funariales; Funariaceae. The record is from RNAcentral.